ACAGCCUCCUGCGCCACCAGCGAUGCCACCGUGCCGAGCUGGAGCUGGAGAGGGCGGCCGCGCUGCAGGCCCUACAGGCCCAGGCUGCGCAGUCCCCGGCCCCUCUGGAGCAGGAAGCCGAGGGGCUCCCGCUGCCAGUUCCUCGAAUCAAGGAGGAGCCGCCCUCCCCGGGGACCUUGCCCCAGUCCCCAGCGGCACCCCCGGUGUUCCUCAGCGCCUCCUGCUUCGACAGCCAAGACCACUCCGCCUUCAAGAUGGAGGAGGACGAGGUGGACAGCAAGGCCCAACUGCGCGGCUUGGGAGGCCUGGCCUCCUGACCCGCACGGCCCCUCCGACCUCUAGCUUGCAGUGGAUGGAGAGGACCCCCUGCGCCGGCUCCCUCGAGCCCUGUCCCCGGAGCAAGGCCCCGGCCGCCCCCCCUUGCCCAGACCCCGAUGCCGCCCCAUCUUCAGGCAGGACGACUUGGAGCCGGAGGUGGAGGACGCUAGGCCAGAGGGAGGUGGGCAAGUGGCCUCGCCCAGCCGGCCUCUCCCGUGACAUACACUGGACACCAUCACCUCUUCUGAAGGCCCGCCAGGCUGUCCCCGUGAGCACAGGUCCUAGGAGUGGAGUGGAGGGAGGAAGAGCAUCUGCCAGCCAACCUUCCUUAAACUUUCUUGUGCCAUCUGCCUUUCCACCACCACCUUCAAUGGCUCUCUUGCCCUAUCAAGUUACUCCCCAGGAGGAAUACUGAAGACGGCCACCAGCUGGUGGCUGCUGCCACUUAGUUACCACACGCGGACAGGCAUAGGAGCACAGCAUAGGAGAUGAGGUGGCCACCCGACCUCAGCCACAGGUGCCCCUGCGGGAAGCAGAGAGCAUUCACUUUCCAGAGGCUGCAGGAGUCGGAACCACCACCCCAGCUCGGGUCCACGACACUGCAGAGUCUCCGGCGUGAGGAGGGGGAUUGGGCCAUGGACUCACUGCUCCUCUGGGCUCAUCCGUGGAGUUCUUAGCUGACUGUGCCGCUGGGAGGCAGGGGCUGGCAGGACAUGGCUGACUGGGGCGUGACUGGAAGGGUACGUCCUCGACCCUGGCUCUUCCCUCUGUCUCUGCUUCCUGGCUGCCAUGGAGUGAGCAGCCAUCCUCCACCAGGCCCUCUCACUGUGCUGUUCUGUCUCGGAGCUGGCCGGCCAUGGACUGGACCCACUGAAACUGUGAGCCAAAUAAACCUCUCCUCCUAAACGCUCUGGGUGUCGCUGUCGUGUCCCAGUGCCGCCACAGCUCGCUAACCCAGUCCCCUCCCCACACGCUGCUGCUCCGGCGGGAGGGCCCCAUCCCUGUGCUGGGAGUUCCUCCCUCCCUCCCUAGCCCGAACACCACCGCUGCCUCAUGCAGCUGCUGCCUCCAGAGAGAAGCGUUCCCAGGAAGAAAUCCGGAUCCUGUGGGGAGGACAGGCUCAGAGAGGCAGCAAGCUCCGCUGCUCUGCUUUGAAAUACCCA
Molecule: long non-coding RNA, 1481 nt
Filed under: Fukomys damarensis (Damara mole-rat)
Lineage: Eukaryota; Metazoa; Chordata; Mammalia; Rodentia; Bathyergidae
Description: lncRNA (ENSFDAG00000024004.1)
Source: RNAcentral